RNAcentral lists this transfer RNA (73 nucleotides) under Algisphaera agarilytica. It matches the Rfam family "tRNA". Rfam says of the family: Transfer RNA (tRNA) molecules are approximately 80 nucleotides in length. The record is from Rfam by way of RNAcentral. Lineage: Bacteria; Pseudomonadati; Planctomycetota; Phycisphaerae; Phycisphaerales; Phycisphaeraceae.
GCGUGUGUAGCUCAAUCGGAAGAGCGGCGGAUUCCAAAUCCCCCAGGUGGAGGUUCGAGCCCUCCCCCACGUG